This 253-nucleotide ribosomal RNA is filed under the name uncultured bacterium. Its description in RNAcentral is "partial 16S ribosomal RNA". It matches the Rfam family "Bacterial small subunit ribosomal RNA", at positions 524 to 776 of the family's 1533-position model. The record is from RNAcentral.
UACGUAGGGUGCGAGCGUUGUCCGGAAUUAUUGGGCGUAAAGGGCUCGUAGGCGGUCUGUUACGUCGGGAGUGAAAACUCGGGGCUCAACCCCGAGCCUGCUUCCGAUACGGGCAGACUAGAGGUAUGCAGGGGAGAAUGGAAUUCCUGGUGUAGCGGUGAAAUGCGCAGAUAUCAGGAGGAACACCGGUGGCGAAGGCGGUUCUCUGGGCAGUACCUGACGCUGAGGAGCGAAAGUGUGGGGAGCGAACAGG